This is a long non-coding RNA of Oncorhynchus tshawytscha (Chinook salmon), 3812 nucleotides long. NCBI's taxonomy places the organism in Eukaryota, Metazoa, Chordata, Actinopteri, Salmoniformes, Salmonidae. The record is from Ensembl.
AAAAUUGGGACCCUGUGAAUUCACACAUACAUCAUAUAUCAUGAUAAAGUCACAUGGUGGCCAUUGUUGUGUUGAUUUCACAAUUUGUCAUCCACUGUGGCUGACUGAUAAGGAGUUUCACUACCUAAAGUCACACAGACGCAGAACAGCGCAGGGAGACGACACAGCUACAAACAUACAUUAGAGUUGAGGUAAGAAGUAGAAGUUACUGUAUUUGACCACAAGUGUGUUAAGAUGUCAAAGGGAGUCUAUGAAAUCUCAGAUGGAUUUAAUGACGAUGAGCCUGAUGCAAUGAAGAACACAGACAUUGAUGGCCAAUUAUAUUCCAAUGUAGGAGCCUUCAAGCCCAGUCCAAGAGAUGGAGUUGUUGCUUCAGGUACGAUUGCACGAACACACACACACACACACACACACACACACACACUAUAUUAGACAGGUGAGAUUACCCAGUAUUUCUAUAUCUUUAUUUGUCCCAAUCCUAGAUGAUACAGUAAUACACAUUAUUAAAGAUCUUACUUUAAUAAUGUGUUAUUCAGUACAUGUUCAGUGGUGGAAGAGACCCUCUGGAGUUGCUGCAGUGUGUCUGGGGCUGCUGUGUGUUCUAAUAAUCUUUGACAGUCAGUCUUUGUUGUCAAGUUACAUAAAAGCACAACAUCAAAUGCUCAUAUUUGACUGUUACAUAUGAUAUUUAAUAGAUGUUAACAGUUAGCCUUUUUUCUUCACUUCCCCUCUAUGAUCUAUAUCUUCCUGGUAUGAUAGUGUCCUGUCCAUCAUCACAAAUAGCAAGUCCUGUUCCCUGAGCAGGAGGACUGUGUUGAGAUAUACUCUGGACAAGAUGACCAUGUAUAGACAUGACAUGGUUUAAAAUGUGCCGCAGAAAAUGCUUUCACAAUAACCACUGUAACAAUCUCUCACACACACACACAACUAAGCACACACAUUUUCAAACUUGUAAACAUUUUUGUGUUAGCAUAGCCACAACUUCCCAUGUAAUUUUGUUGAUACUUCCAUAGAGUUAACACCUACAGCAGUGACACAGACAGAGACACGCAGAUGACUCAGAGACAGAGAUGACACUAGAAGCAGAAAAAGUACAGUCUUGUACUGUAGUUGACAAACGACGCCUCCUGGUGGCCAUGUUGGAAGACCACCACAUUAAUUCUAGAAGCAGAGACUUAAUGUAUAGUAGACCUACAUAGAAAGGAAGACCCAGGCAUUGUUGACGAUGUCAAAGGUCAUCUGUGCUGAGCCCGAUAUGAACAAGAAGGUCAAGUUUGACAGGUGAGAUGGAGGAGAGGAUUGUGGAUAUCUACGUCAGUGCAGACACCCUGAGAGACGGUGAGACCAGCACCAAGAGAGAAGAGACAGCAGACACUGCUCCUAAUAAUGGACCAGGAGACCAGCACUCAGAUAACACACACACACACACACACGCACACACAAAACAUAACAGUAUAUUAUGUGUGUCCACAGAGCCUGAUAGCUCAGGGAAGAGACCCUUCCUAGUUGCCACAGUGUUUCUGGGGCUGCUGUGUGUUCUCCUACUGGCUGGGAUCAUAGGCCUGUCUGUCUACUGUGAGUUUGUGUAGAAGUUCAUUGCUUAAUUGUAAGAAGUGUAGGUUACUAAGCCUAUUUAACUGGUGUUUCACGUAGUAACUAUGUGUUUAUACUUUGUAGAUAACAGAGACAUCACAGAUUCUGAGGAUAAAAGGAACAACUUGUCACAGAGUUGUUCCCUUUAUAAGACUAACACAACAGAGAGAGACAACUACAACAAGAGAGAGACCAGCUACAGACCAGAUACAACAACCUGACUGAAGAGAGAGACCAGCUACAGACCAGAUACAACAACCUGACUGAAGAGAGAGACCAGCUACAGACCAGAUACAACAACUGACUGAAGAGAAAGGCCAUAUUCAGCUAAAGCUUUUUGUGAUAGCAUUGUCAGGAGGGAUGGAGAUACUUUGACUCCAGUUUGUACUUCCUGUCUACUAAAGAAGAAAACCUGGGAGAAGAGCAGACAGGACUGUCUGGAUAGAGGAGCAGACCUGGUGAUCAUAAACAGCAGAGAGGAACAGACAUUUGUCUUCAACCUCCACCUGAGAGCCUGGAUUGGUCUGACUGACUGUUACUGAGGGGAUCUGGAAGUGGGUGGACGGCACAACACUGACCACAGGGUACUGGAGCGCAGGACAGCCUGAUGAUAAUGGGAAAGAGGACUGUGUUGAGAUAUACUAUGGACAAGAUGACCCUGUAAAGACAUGGAAUGAUGAAAAUUGUCACAAAUAUCAUGACUGGAUAUGUGAGAAAGUGGUAUAACGAUAAUCCACAGUAACAAACAUUCUCUCUCUCUGUCUCUCUCUCUCUCUCUCUCUCUCUCUCAAUUCAAGGCCUUUAUUGUCAUGGGAAACAUAUGUUAACAUUGCCAAUGCAAGUGAAGUAGAUAAUAUACAGAAGUGAAAUAAACAAUAAAAAUGAACAGUAAACAUUACACUCACAGAGGUUCCAAAAGAAUAAAGACAUGUCAAACGGCGCCCCACAUCAAAAUAUUUUUCAACCAGCACAGACUUUGUAAAAUCACAAAUAUCGGUUAAAUAUUAACUUACUUUUUAAAAAUCUUCCUCUGAUUUGCAAUCCAAAGGGUCCCAACUACAACAUGUAUGGUCGUUAUGCAAGAUAAAAUCCUUCUUUAUAUCCCAAAAAGUCAGUUUAGUUGGAACCAUCGAUUUGAGUAAUCCACUCGUUCAACAUGCAGAGAAAGGAAUCCUAAAAGCUACGGCUAAACUUUGUUAAAACAAGUCCAAAUACGUUUCUAUUGAAUCCUCAGAUACCCUAAAAUGUAAUUCAACUAUAACAUUUCAUACGGAAAGUAGUAUGUUCAAUAGAAAAGCUAAAUUAGCAGGUGCGCGUCUUCUUCGUCACGCACCAGUCUGAUUUCCAACUCUGACUCCCAGUACUAAAACUCAAAAGUCUUCCUUGUUUGGGAAAAAACAAAACUGAAACCUUGAACAACGACUGUUGAUAUCUAGUGGAAGCCAUAGGAAUUGCAAUCUAUGAGCUGGAUUUGUAUACGACCCUAUUACCUUCCAUUGUAAGAGCAUGGGCUCUCAAAAAAAAAAUACAUUCUGUUUGGAUUUUCUUUGGAUUUUCUCCUACCAUAUCUAUUGUGUUAUAGUCUCAUACAUUAUUUUAACAUUUCUCCAAACUUCAAAGGGUUCUCCAUCCAAUGGUACCACUUAUAUGCUUAUCCUGGCUUCUGGGCCGGAGUAACAGGCAGUUUACUUUGGGCACGUCAGUCAGGCGGAAAUUCAGAAAAAAAGACCCUAGCCUGAAGAAGUGAUGAUUCCACCUUCUGGUUAAAGUGAGAGAUGAACUCAACAUAGAGGUGAAAUUGAGACUCUGUCUCAAAACACAUUGGAGAACAGAAUCCAGGGGGACUGACCUUGGACCUUCUCUAAUAGGGUUGAAAGGAGGAGAGGAGGUAGGAGAGGAAUCUAGGAAAAAAUAAUUGAGAUAUAGCCUUAGUGUCAGAGAGAGACAUAGAGGAGGAAGAAAAUUAAGAGUGAGGAAGAGAGCAAAAAUAAUAUGAAUAAUUGUUGUGUUUAGAUUAAGAGGAGAGUAUGUAGACAUACUGUACUCUGUAAAAUGAUUCUUCAUUGGUUUUAUUAGAAACAUGUCAUGUGAUUUGCCAUAGACUUAUGCUUAGUAAAAAAAAGUGGAACCAAUUAUGAACCAAUGCUUAUCACUUUAGUGAUAUGAAUAGCCAAGUCACUUUUGAAUAAAAAAAGGAACAAUUGUCUUUAAUUAACAAG